AAUUUUGGACAAUGGGGGGAACCCUGAUCCAGCCAUCCCGCGUGUAUGAUGAAGGUCUUCGGAUCGUAAAGCUCUGUCCUUGGGGAAGAAGAUCGAAAGAUUUGACGGUACACGAGGAGGAAGCCCCGGCUAACUACGUGCCAGCAGCCGCGGUAAUACGUAGGGUGCAAGCGUUAAUCGGAAUUACUGGGCGUAAAGGGUGCGCAGGCGGUUUAUCAAGAAAGGUGUGAAAUCCCCGGGCUUAACCUGGGAGUGGCACUUUUAACUGAUAGGCUAGAGUAUGUCAGAGGGGGGUAGAAUUCCACGUGUAGCAGUGAAAUGCGUAGAGAUGUGGAGGAAUACCGAUGGCGAAGGCAGCCCCCUGGGAUAAUACUGACGCUCAGACACGAAAGCGUGGGGAGCAAACA
This 407-nucleotide ribosomal RNA is filed under the name uncultured bacterium. RNAcentral describes it as "partial 16S ribosomal RNA". It matches the Rfam family "Bacterial small subunit ribosomal RNA", at positions 360 to 774 of the family's 1533-position model. The record is from RNAcentral.